RNAcentral lists this ribosomal RNA (253 nucleotides) under uncultured bacterium. RNAcentral's name for it is "partial 16S ribosomal RNA". It matches the Rfam family "Bacterial small subunit ribosomal RNA", at positions 524 to 776 of the family's 1533-position model. The record is from RNAcentral.
UACAGAGGUCUCGAGCGUUAAUCGGAGUCACUGGGCUUAAAGGGUGCGUAGGCUGAUCUGUAAGUGCCUUGUGAAAUCCCAUGGCUCAACCAUGGAAUUGCUCGGUAGACUGCAGAUCUUGAGGUCGGUAGGGGUUGCCGGAACUCUAGGUGGAGCGGUGAAAUGCGUAGAUAUCUAGAGGAACGCCGAAGGUGAAGACAGGCAACUGGGCCGAUUCUGACGCUGAGGCACGAAAGCGUGGGGAGCAAACGGG